Ictalurus furcatus (blue catfish) is the source of this 5494-nucleotide RNA transcript. It is a transcript of the gene named DNA topoisomerase II binding protein 1, with no coding region annotated. The transcript has 31 exons. NCBI's taxonomy places the organism in Eukaryota, Metazoa, Chordata, Actinopteri, Siluriformes, Ictaluridae. The record is from RefSeq and is a predicted model, not a curated record.
CUCCGUGUCACUAGGUGGCAGUAAAGCAACAACAAAGCUAUUUUGACAAUCAGGUUUCACUAGAAGAAGAUGAGAAUGUUUUGUUUCAUGGCGCGAAUGCGACACUGCCAAUCCUAGCUGAGUAGUAAUAAUAAUAAUAACAACAACAAUAAAAAAUACCUUUGAACUAGUUUACUGGUUUUUGCAAGUUUAACCUGGGACAAAGCUGUUUAAACUGGGACCACGUCAAUCAUGUUCAUCUGUAGACGCCGGUUCAGUUAGUCACGUUAGCUAGCUGAGUGGCUAAAAGGCGCUCGCGCUCAGAUGAGCUGCGUCUCGAGCUUGGUGGAGAUUUGUCGUGAAUCUGGAGCCUGUCCCAGCAGUGCGAGGCAGGUACACACCCUGGGUAGUAGGCCAGAGUAGCUAAUCCACCUUAUGGUAUGUUUUUUGGAUGUGGGAGGAAACCCGAGAGCCCGGAGGAAAGCCGUGUGAACACAGGGAGAGCACACACAAACCCAAGCGACCAGCUGCAUGUGCAUUCCUGCGCAAAUAAAUAACUCGCCGGAUCCGAAUUAGGAAAGGAUCGGAUUGGAUUUUGUUGCAUCAUUUUAACCAGUCCCGUUUAGGACUGAAGCCAGGAUGACCAAAGCGAGCCAGGAUGUGUAUAUGGUGAAAUUUGUCGAACGUAAUGGGCAUAAAAGUGAGCUUGGCCGCAAAGCUUAUGAGGCCAUAGUGGAGCUGCAGUCUGAGAAAUACGUGCAGAUUAUUGUUGAAGAAGCCGUGCUGGAGGUGGAGCGCAACGACAAGUCCCUGUACGUGUUCAGCGAUUUCACCAGCGAUGCGUUUGAGCACUGCAGGAAGCUGGGGUGCAGGAUAGUGAGUCCUCUGGUAGUGCUGUUCUGCCUGCAGCAGCAGAGGUGUGUACCAAAGGCAGAGCAGCCAGUUUACAACAUGGCCAUGGCUGAUGUUACAGUGUCCUGCACCAGUCUGGACAAAGAAGCACGGAUGGAAGUGAUGGACUUGGUCCAGUUGAUGGGUGGGCGGGUCUACCGAGACCUCAACGUGUCCGUCACUCACCUGGUGGCAGGUGAAGUGGGCAGUAAAAAGUAUUUGGUGGCAGCCAGCCUGGGGAAGCCCGUCCUUCUGCCAACCUGGGUCAGAGCAUGCUGGGAGAAAUCUCAGGACAGUUUGUUCCGGUACUCAGACCUGUGUUUGGAGGAGUACCGGUGUCCUAUUCUCAAAGGUUGCACUGUGUGUGUGACGGGUCUGUCCACGGUGGAGCGCAAAGAGGUGCAGAGGCUGUGUGAACUGCACGGUGGGAGUUACACCGGCCAGCUCAAGAUGAACGAAUGCACUCACCUCAUUGUCAGCGAGCCCUCAGGUCAGAAGUAUGAGUUCGCGAAGAAGUGGAACGUGUACUGCAUCUCCAUUCACUGGCUUUUCGACAGUAUCGAGAAGGGCUUCUGUCAGGAUGAGAGUCGUUAUGCCGUAGAGCGAGAGGACAAGAGGAAGGAGCAGACUGGCAGACCCAACACCUCCACUCCAACUGGCUCAAAUAAGACAGAUGGACCGUCUUUGCUUGGCCUGAGCCAUAUCUCAAAUAUCAGUAUGAAUGUCAACGAAACAACCAUGACAACUGCAACAACGAUCCGCACAGAGACUGCCGAUCCAAUUGACGCAUUUGAUGCUACCAUCUGUCCAACAGAUGACUUAUUAGAUGGCUGCAAGCUUUACCUGUGUGGCAUGGUGGGGAAGAGGCUGGAGAAACUGCGCCGGUUGGUGAACUCUGCCGGAGGCCUGCACUUCAACCAGCUCGGUGAAGAACUUACACACAUCGUGAUGGGAGAACCUGACCAGGAUGUCAAAGGCUUUCUCACUAAAGCCAUUCAUAGGCCACAUAUUGUCACAGUGCAGUGGUUGCUGGACAGUUUCUCUCGUGGCUCUCUGCUUCCUGUGGAGACCUACUUCCACCCUUCAUUCCUCCCUCCUGUUCCAGCCCAAGUGAACAUUCCCGCCACCCGCCCUGCUACCUCACGCCCCUCCAGGCCAUCUUUUGCUGCCCCGCCAGCACCCAGCCCUAACCAACAUGCCAGGGCUGAGGAACAAUUACUCUCGCAGUAUGUGGACAGUAACCAGACUGUAGUGGAGUUACCUCCACCCCCAGAUAACAAAAACAAGACUUGCAGGUCUGAAGUACCAGACCCAGCCGCACCAGGUCAUUACUCCACUGUAGCUGGAUCCUCAGAGGGAGGUAUGUUUACUGGGAAACGCUUCCUCCUGGUGGGCUUUGGUGCAGAAUCAGAGGCACAGCUCUCGAUGUUGAUUGUGGAGAGCAAUGGAAAAGUUUUGGUUGGCCGGUUCAGAGGUGUGGCCGAUUAUGCCGUAGUUCCUCUUCUGGGCUGUGAGGUGGAGGCCACAGUGGACGAAGUGGUCACAGACACCUGGCUGGCAAUGUGUGUGGAGCAGCAGUGUAUUCUGCCAGUGUCAUCUCAUCCAUUGUUCACCCCAGUUGUGGCGAAGGAGGGCUGCUCUCCUCUCAGAGACUGUGUGCUGUCAGUUAGCCAGUUUACCGGAGCAGAGCGAGAGUCCCUCAUUCAGCUUACAAGGCAUCUGGGAGCAAGUGUCCAGGACUAUUUUGUGCGCACUGCUAAUCAGAGGAAAGGCAUGCUGGCUAGCACUCACCUUGUCCUGCAGAUUCCUGAGGGCACGAAGUACCAGGCAGCACAGAAGUGGGGGCUGCCUGCCGUGACCAUACACUGGAUCCUAGAGUCUGCCAGAACAGGCAAACGUGCUGAGGAGAAGCGCUAUCUGGUGGAUCUGCCUCCAUCUCCUGAGCACAGCGAGGACAGUUUUGUUGGAGCGUCUCAGAAAGCUGCAGGCCCUCCCAUGCCUGUGCGUAUCUCUCCAGAGAUUCCUCUGCUGGGUCCUCAGAGCAGCACCUCCGUAACGCCGUUGGACACGGGCCGUCUGCAGAGCCGCGCUGUCCACUCCGUCCUCCGCAGGAUGAAGAAAGGUGAGGAGGGAGAGGUGGAGGGCACAACCCCGGCUCAAGAAGAAAGCAGAGGGAUCUUGCAGAAAGAGCUUCAGCUUGACACGCCGUCUCGCUUCCUCAGCAGAGACAAGCUUUUUGGACCUUCCUUUAACAUUAAGGAUGUGUUUGACCAUUUAAAAACACCCGGUAAUAAGCCUCAGCAGGGCGAGAGGGCGGAGACUCCCCUAAGUGAGGUGAUCGAAAGGAAUUUGAAGGCAGCGGUGGCCAAUAGCAACCGCAGUCAUGUCAUGAGCCUCGCUGCCCUGACUGCAAGUCCUCAACUAGGCAAACAGCCAGAACCUAAAAUCCAUGAACAGGUGAAGGAAAAGACUUCAGCUCCGCUUGACGGAGUGGUCGUUUGUGUGAGUAAGAAACUCAUUAAAAAACAGAGUGAGCUAAAUGCAAUGGCUGCAUCCCUAGGAGCAGACUUCAGGUGGUCUUGUGAUGAUUCGGUCACCCACUAUAUCUACCAGGGCAAAGUGGGAGACAACACUAAAGAGUACAGGGCAGUGAAGGAAAGAGGCCUGCAUAUAGUGUCCCAGCACUGGCUGCAGGCGUGUGCAGAGGAGCAGAAGCGAGUGCCUGAGUCACUCUACCCCUUCACCUUUAACCCCAAAAUGAGCCUGAUGCUGAGCCAGGUGGCAAACAGCACCCAGAAAUCUCCUCCCCUCUCCACACCCUACUCCAAACUCCGAGCUCUCGAUGAUGACGAUGACGACACAUGGAUGGGGGCUGUGGACAUCACUGCAGAUAUUUCUACGCCUCAGAGAGAACCUGCGGAGAGAGAGCAGCAGCAACCGAGCAGCAGUGAAAGGAAAGACUUGACCAAGACUCUGGAGAUGAGGGAGAACUUGCAGAGGCAGCUACAGGAGAUUAUGUCUGCCACAAAGCUGACCAGUGGCCGGCGAGCCUCCUCUAGAUUGGCUCGAGUGGGUUCAGGGGGUCUAGACUCUCCACACACUCCAGAGAUUCUGGGCCGAAUGGGUAGGCGCAGCAGGACACUGGAGGCCUUACGCAUGUCCCGUCAGGCUGCAGUGGAUGUGAACACAGAAGCGUCUCAGAGUGAGCAGAUAGUGUGGGACGACCCCACGGCGAGAGAGGAGAGGGCGAAACUGGCUGAUAACCUGCAAUGGCCGGGCAGCCCUUCUCAACAUUCAGAGCCUCUCGCCAUCCUUCCUCCACCACCACCACACACUGAUCAAAGCGCCCGAGACACCAUGACCGACUCUGAACUGGUGGAGAUGGCUGCCUGCGAUGUAAUACAGGACCACAUGAAACAGAUGGUGACCCCACCAAGAGUUAACACUGAGCCUCAGGCUCCCAAAAUGCCUGAAGCACCUAGUACUGCUUUUCCUGUCUCCAAAGCUUCAGUGCCAGCUGAGCUACAGUUUGAGCAAGAGGAGGAGCGGGAGAAGAAGGUGGUGAAGAAGGGGCCUCCACGCUUCCAGUUGUCUUCACUUAGCCCACAGGAGCGCAUUGAUUACAGCCAUCUCGUCGAGGAGCUGGGUGGUAUCUUACUAGAAAAGCAGUGUUUUGACCCUAGCUGUACUCACAUCAUUGUGGGUUAUCCUCUGAGGAAUGAGAAAUACCUGGCUGCCAUGGCAGCUGGCAAAUGGAUCCUUCACCGCUCAUACCUGGAGGCCUGUCGUGCUGAGGGACACUUCAUACCGGAGGAGGAUUAUGAAUGGGGUAGCCACUGUAUUAUGGAUGCUCUUCCCUCCAUAAACUCUCAACAGAAGAGACUGGCACUAGCGGCCUUGCGCUGGAGAAAAUCGUUGCAGGGUCACACCGAUAAAGAGGGUGCAUUUGGUGGCUGGACAGUGAUGUUGAACAUUGACCAGGCCAGAGAUGCAGGAUUCAGAAGAUUGCUGCAGUCUGGAGGAGCAAAGGUAUUGCCAAGCCCAUCUCCCUCUCUGUAUAAGGAAACCACUCAUCUCUUCGCAGACUUCAGCCGGCUGGGUCCUAAUGAUGUGAGAGUAGAUGUGACUGAGGCCAUGGCUUAUGGAGUUAAAUGCCUCAGGCCUGAGUACAUUGCUGAUUACCUCAUGCAGGAACCCUCACCACCAAUGGAUGCAUAUUAUCUUCCUGGUGCAGCAGCGAAUGGGCUUCCUGAGACCGCACACCAAGGCCAGAACCCCCCCUCACGCAAGCGCAGGGCCUCAGGGGACACAUCCGCUGUGAAGAAGAGCAGACAUCUACUAAGUCCACCACUGAAGGGCCCUUAUUCAUCAGAGUUGCAUCAGAAACAAGCAUAAGAUGCAUUUGAAUGCAUGCAAAGGCGAAUUUCCAUCUGAUUCAGUAAAUCAAGGUGUUGCAACAGUGAGCAAAUAAAAGCAAAGCAUUCUGUGGACUACAGCUAUCCAGGGUGCAAGGAUGAAUGAAAUCAAUUGAGGGGAUGGAAAAUACAUUUCAGUAAAGCUAAGUUACAGGUGCUUGUAGCUGAGAUUGCUGAAAAUAAAGAUGUUCUUUUCUGAACAAUUUCAA